UGUACUUGAAGCACGUGGAGUGCAGCAGUUACAGGAAGUGGUUCACCAUCACUUUCUCCAAAUCAAAUAAAAAUGGGCAAUCAAUAUUAGUCUGUGCAGCAAAGGCCACAUCCCAUGAGUCAGUUAAAAUUAUUAUGUGUUUCUGGUUGGAGAGAGCUAGAAGAAGCUGAGAUAAUUCUCCUUGGGGAUGAUUAGCAAUGAUUUUGUCGAGUAGUAGAUUUGUUUCCAGGAUAUUUAGUUUGCAGAGAGAGAAAUUCUUAACAUUGUGCAAUGUUUGGUAACUGCAGAAUACAACAUUCAGAUAAUUGGCAAAUAAUGCAGGCUGAAAAUGUGAAGAUUACUUUACUCAUCAAGUUCCCAGGAUCUGGAACAGUCUGAAUGGCAGCUGGAAGCAGAUUUAGCAGUUAUUCUCAAGAGAUUUGGGAUUUAACUUUUCAAGGCUUGAUCAAGAGGGCGGUGGACAAAUGGUGGGAGAAUUGGGUCAGAUUUGCAGCACCUCUGGAAUAAGAGUGAAGCCUUUGACAGGGUUCCACAUGGUCGAUUGAUGAGUAAAGUUAGAUCAUGUGAUUCAGGAAGAGCUUGCUAAUUGGAAGCGGAAUUGGCUUAGUUGUAGGAGAGACCGUGGUGCUGGAGGAUUUUGCAGAGUGGAGUUCUAUGACCAGCGGUGCUCCACAGAAAUUCGUACAUGGUCCACUUCUUUGUUUCUCAUUAAUAUAAAUGAUUUGGAUGCGAAUUUAAGGGACAAAAGUAAUAAGUUUGCAGAUGAUACUAGAAAUGGUGGUUAUAGUGGUUAGUCAAGGUUAUCUAAGAUGACAGCGAGAUCUUGAUCAAUUGGCUCAAUGGGUUGAGGAGUGGAGGAUGAAGUUCAAUUUAGAUAAAUGUGAGACAUUGUAUUUUGGUAAAAUGAACAAGGGUAGGACUUGCACAGUUGAAGGUUGCACCCAGGGUAGAGUUGUGGAACAGAGAAAUGCUGAGAUUCAGGUACAUAAUUCUUCGAAGUUUAUGUAGACAGGUAGACAGAGUGGUUAAUAAAUUGUUUAGCGCACUUGCCUUCAUUGUUCAGAUCUUUGAGUAUAGGAGUUGGUGUUAUGUUGAGGUUGUACAAGACAUUGGCGAGGCUUCAUUUGUGGUAUUGUGUGCAGUUCUGGUCGCCCUGUUACAGGAAGGGCACUAUUAUUAAACUGGAAACAAUUCAGAAAAGACUCGCUGGGAUGUUGCCAGGAAUGGAGGGCUUGAUGAACAAAAUCAACUGCCAAAGCUAGGACUUUCCUCACUGGAGUGAAGGAGGUUAAGGGGUAAAAUUAGAAGUUUAUAAAAUCAUGAGGGCACAGAUUAUGUAAAUAGUAAGGGGUUUCCCCUAGGUUGGGGGAUUUCAAGACAAGGGAACAUAUGUGGAAUACAUCUUUUAAAAAAGACAUGAGGGACAAUUUUUCUUUUACAGAGUUGUUCAUGUGUGGAACAAACUUUCAGAGGAGUUGGUGGAUGCAGAUUUCCACAAUUUUACUUCUGCACUGUUCUUAGUCUUUCAGAGGGAUUGAAAGGUUGACUUACAGAUCUGUACAAUGCCUGUCCUUCCUCCCUGGCUGUCCCACCUCUCUUUCCGUAAUUUUGUGCAAACAGACUGGAUCGCUUACCCGGAUGAUAUUUAUUUGUGAAUGAAUUUGUUCUAAUGAUGAUCCAGCAUAUUUCCCAAGUGUCGCUCCACAAAUGUCCCGAGGAUUUCUCAGUUUCACAAUCUGUUUACUUCUGGUUUCUCACUCACUGCACUUACUUUCUGUUUGAAAGCUCAGUCUGCAGUUUGGAGAAUUCAAACUGUUCUACAUCCAGGUCUGACAGUCACUUUGUUUAUCACAACCCAACUAUCUCAGGAUUUUGAACAUUGAAGGAAAAUGCAGCACUCUCACGUUGGAGAAAUGUAAAUGGUUUGUGUGCCAAAGAGUCUGUGAAGAUUCAUCUGAAAUUCCUAACACCAACUCAGUUGUACUGGGGAGAGACUGUGGAAAUGUGCAGAUUACAGGAAGGAAUUUCUUCAUCCAUCCCAGCUAGAAACUGACCACCAGAAUCGCACUGGAGAGAGACCAUUCACCCGCUCUGAUUGUGGAAUGGGAUUCGCUCAGUCAUCUAACCUGUUUAAACACCAGGGAGUUCACACUGGAGAGAAACCAUUUACUUGCUUGGAAUGUGGGAAAGCAUUCACUCAGACACCUCAACUGCUGAUACACCAGCAAAUUCACACUGGAGAGAGACCAUUGGCCUGUUGUGUGUGGGAAAGGUUUUGCUGACUUGAAUUCCCCUCUGACACACCAGCAAGUUCACUCUGGGGAGAGACCAUUCAUGAGCUCUGAGUGUGGGAAAGCAUUCACUCAGUCAUCCAAACAAUCACAAAGAACUACAGUUGAAGCAUUUUGCUAUCACUCUCACGAUCAAAUGAACCAUGGUUUUGGGCUGUUUGUACUGAUGUUACUAAUCCCUGCUCAAUUAAAGGUGCUGCUAUUGUGAAUAAAAAUGUUAAUAACA
Stegostoma tigrinum is the source of this 2517-nucleotide long non-coding RNA. RefSeq lists it as uncharacterized. The record is from RefSeq and is a predicted model, not a curated record. The transcript is spliced from 2 exons. Lineage: Eukaryota; Metazoa; Chordata; Chondrichthyes; Orectolobiformes; Stegostomatidae.